GCUGGGUGUGGUGGCACAUGCCUGUAAUCCCAGCAGUUUGGGAGGCUGAGGCAGGAGGAUUGUGAGUUCAAAGCCAGCCUCAGCAACGGCGAGGCGCUAAGCAACUCAGUGAGACUCUGUCUCUA
Molecule: small RNA, 125 nt
Filed under: Marmota monax (woodchuck)
Lineage: Eukaryota; Metazoa; Chordata; Mammalia; Rodentia; Sciuridae
Source: RNAcentral